UAAAUCCCAGGAGGUUUACAUAACCCAGAUCAUAAGAAAAUCUAAGCGAAGUUCUAUGUUGAGGUCUGAUUGGAAAAAGACAUAAGCUCUGGAUUUAAAAGAUUAGAAGAGAGAGAAUAUGAUGUUUUAUUUAAACUGGAAGUUAAAGCAAAAUCGCAGGGAGAGACAAUUACAAGAUAAGUAGUGUAUCUGUGUGGGCAGGGAUUCUAAAGUCGAAACACUUAUGGAAGCAGCAGGAACCUAACUUAAAAAUUACGUAAAGAAGUGGAUGAAGUGAGAUGGCGCUGUGAGAGCUCUCUGCCUGCCGAGCACUUUAAAAUUUUUCCGUCUACUUUUUUAUGAUCUAAAAAUAUCCAGAAGAGAUCAACUAAGACUGCAAAUAAGGAAAUAAGGA
This is a long non-coding RNA of Gorilla gorilla gorilla (western lowland gorilla), 394 nucleotides long. RefSeq lists it as uncharacterized. The transcript has 3 exons. The record is from RefSeq and is a predicted model, not a curated record. NCBI's taxonomy places the organism in Eukaryota, Metazoa, Chordata, Mammalia, Primates, Hominidae.